UCUGCCAGUGAUGACACUUGCCUUGCCCUCACUGAGAAUGCUGUUCGGUAAUGAGAGUGUGUUCUCAGUAUUCAUUUACUCUGGGGUAACUGGGACAGU
RNAcentral lists this small nucleolar RNA (99 nucleotides) under Chelydra serpentina (North American snapping turtle). RNAcentral's name for it is "Small nucleolar RNA SNORD103/SNORD85 (ENSCSRG00000005197.1)". It matches the Rfam family "Small nucleolar RNA SNORD103/SNORD85". From Rfam's summary of the family: This family includes the snoRNAs SNORD103 (U103) and SNORD85 (HBII-251) . The members of this family belong to the C/D class of snoRNAs which contain the C (UGAUGA) and D (CUGA) box motifs. In the human genome, there are two identical copies of SNORD103 (SNORD103A and SNORD103B) which share the same host gene with SNORD85. The record is from Rfam by way of RNAcentral. Lineage: Eukaryota; Metazoa; Chordata; Testudines; Chelydridae.